AUUGAACGCUGGCGGCAUGCCUUACGCAUGCAAGUCGAACGGCAGCACGGGAGCAAUCCUGGUGGCGAGUGGCGAACGGGUGAGUAACAUAUCGGAACGUGCCCAGUAGUGGGGGAUAGCCCGGCGAAAGCCGGAUUAAUACCGCAUACGACCCAAGGGUGAAAGCGGGGGAUCGCAAGACCUCGCGCUAUUGGAGCGGCCGAUAUCAGAUUAGCUAGUUGGUGGGGUAAAAGCCUACCAAGGCGACGAUCUGUAGCUGGUCUGAGAGGACGACCAGCCACACUGGGACUGAGACACGGCCCAGACUCCUACGGGAGGCAGCAGUGGGGAAUUUUGGACAAUGGGCGCAAGCCUGAUCCAGCCAUGCCGCGUGCGGGAAGAAGGCCUUCGGGUUGUAAACCGCUUUUGUCAGGGAAGAAACGGUCCGUGCUAAUACCACGGGCUAAUGACGGUACCUGAAGAAUAAGCACCGGCUAACUACGUGCCAGCAGCCGCGGUAAUACGUAGGGUGCAAGCGUUAAUCGGAAUUACUGGGCGUAAAGCGUGCGCAGGCGGUCAUGCAAGACAGAUGUGAAAUCCCCGGGCUCAACCUGGGAACUGCAUUUGUGACUGCAUGACUUGAGUACGGUAGAGGGGGAUGGAAUUCCGCGUGUAGCAGUGAAAUGCGUAGAUAUGCGGAGGAACACCGAUGGCGAAGGC
Molecule: ribosomal RNA, 699 nt
Filed under: uncultured bacterium
Lineage: Bacteria
Description: bacterial SSU rRNA
Rfam family: Bacterial small subunit ribosomal RNA
Source: RNAcentral